AUGUAAAUUUUUGUGUGAAUGUAUAUUUAUUUAUUGUAAUAAUAAAUAUUUUAAUUUUAUUCUCUUUAAUUAAUUUUAAAAAUACAAGUAAAUUUGUAGGUAGUAAAUUUAUUUAAAUAUUGAUUAAAUUUGUACCAGCAGCUGCGGUUACACAAAUAAUAUAAAUUUAAUUAUUUUAGCGAUAUUGUUAUUAUUUAUUUAUUUAUUUUAUUAUUUAUUGUGUUAUUUUAUAUAAAUUUGUUACGUAAAUUUUAAAUUUAUUAUUCAUUAAAAACAUUUUGAAACAAGUAAAUUUUAAUAAAAAACUAGGAUUAGAUACCCUAUCUAAAUCUUAAAAACAUGCGUAAGUGAACUUGUAUUUUAAUCAAUAAUUCGCGAUGGACCUUCUGAAUUUUGUUUUCAGUUUAUAUACCGUCGUUUAUAGAAUAUUUUAUAAGAAAAAUAAUUUUUAAUGAACUUAUAUCACAUCAAGGUGUAAUUUAUAGUUAAGUUAAGAUGAGUUAAAAUAAAUUUAUUUUUCGGAUUUAAUUUUGAAAUAUUUUAAUUAAGUUGGAGUUUAUAGUAAAAUUAUAGAGACUAAUAAUUAGAUUAUAGCUCUAAAAUGUGCAUAUAUUGCCCGUGGCUCUUUUUAUUAAGAAAAGAGAAGUCGUAACAAAGUAGAUGUA
RNAcentral lists this ribosomal RNA (665 nucleotides) under Eupyrgota tigrina. Its description in RNAcentral is "partial 12S ribosomal RNA". Lineage: Eukaryota; Metazoa; Arthropoda; Insecta; Diptera; Pyrgotidae. The record is from RNAcentral.